GGUUAAGUGACUAAGCGUACACGGUGGAUGCCUUGGCAGUCAGAGGCGAUGAAAGACGUAGUAACUUGCGAUAAGCCCAGAUUAGGUAGUAACAACCAUUUGAGUCUGGGAUUUCUGAAUGGGGAAACCCACGUAGCAUAAGCACGUAUCCUUACCUGAAUACAUAGGGUAAGGAGGCGAACCGGGGGAACUGAAACAUCUAAGUACCCCGAGGAAAAGAAAUCAACCGAGAUUCCGAAAGUAGCGGCGAGCGAAAUUGGACUAGCCCUUAAGCUUUACACGCGUUAGACGAACGGUCUGGAAAGUCCGACGAUACAGGGUGAUAGUCCCGUAGUUGACGACGUGUGUUCAGUGAAAUCGAGUAGGGCGGGACACGUGAUAUCCUGUCUGAAUAUGGGGGGACCAUCCUCCAAGGCUAAAUACUACUGACUGACCGAUAGUGAACCAGUACCGUGAGGGAAAGGCGAAAAGAACCCCUGUGAGGGGAGUGAAAUAGAACCUGAAACCGUGUACGUACAAGCAGUAGGAGCAGGCUUUGUCCUGUGACUGCGUACCUUUUGUAUAAUGGGUCAGCGACUUAUAUUCAGUGGCAAGGUUAACCAUCUAGGGGAGCCGUAGGGAAACCGAGUCUUAACUGGGCGUUCAGUCUCUGGAUAUAGACCCGAAACCAGGUGAUCUAGCCAUGGGCAGGUUGAAGGUUGAGUAACAUCAACUGGAGGACCGAACCGACUAAUGUUGAAAAAUUAGCGGAUGACUUGUGGCUAGGGGUGAAAGGCCAAUCAAACCUGGAGAUAGCUGGUUCUCCCCGAAAGCUAUUUAGGUAGCGCCUCGGACGAAUACUACUGGGGGUAGAGCACUGUUAAGGCUAGGGGGUCAUCCCGACUUACCAACCCUUUGCAAACUCCGAAUACCAGUAAGUACUAUCCGGGAGACACACGGCGGGUGCUAACGUCCGUCGUGGAGAGGGAAACAACCCAGACCGCCAGCUAAGGUCCCAAAUUACUACUAAGUGGGAAACGAUGUGGGAAGGCUCAGACAGCCAGGAUGUUGGCUUAGAAGCAGCCAUCAUUUAAAGAAAGCGUAAUAGCUCACUGGUCGAGUCGGCCUGCGCGGAAGAUGUAACGGGGCUAAGUAGUAAACCGAAGCUGCGGCAAUAUACUUUUGUAUAUUGGGUAGGGGAGCGUUCUGUAAGCGGUUGAAGGUGUGUGGUAACGCAUGCUGGACGUAUCAGAAGUGCGAAUGCUGACAUGAGUAACGAUAAAGGGGGUGAAAAACCUCCUCGCCGGAAGACCAAGGGUUCCUGUCCAACGUUAAUCGGGGCAGGGUAAGUCGACCCCUAAGGCGAGGCCGAAAGGCGUAGUCGAUGGGAAACGGGUUAAUAUUCCCGUACUUCUUACAAUUGCGAUGGGGGGACGGAGAAGGCUAGGUGGGCCUGGCGACGGUUGUCCAGGUUCAAGUGCGUAGGCUUAAGAGUUAGGUAAAUCCGGCUCUUUUUAAGGCUGAGACACGACGUCGAGCAUCUACGGAUGUGAAGUCAUUGAUGCCAUGCUUCCAGGAAAAGCCUCUAAGCUUCAGAUUGUAAGGAAUCGUACCCCAAACCGACACAGGUGGUCGGGUAGAGAAUACCAAGGCGCUUGAGAGAACUCGGGUGAAGGAACUAGGCAAAAUGGUACCGUAACUUCGGGAGAAGGUACGCUCUUGAUGGUGAAGUCCCUUGCGGAUGGAGCUGACGAGAGUCGCAGAUACCAGGUGGCUGCAACUGUUUAUUAAAAACACAGCACUGUGCAAAAUCGUAAGAUGACGUAUACGGUGUGACGCCUGCCCGGUGCCGGAAGGUUAAUUGAUGGGGUUAGACUUCGGUCGAAGCUCUUGAUCGAAGCCCCGGUAAACGGCGGCCGUAACUAUAACGGUCCUAAGGUAGCGAAAUUCCUUGUCGGGUAAGUUCCGACCUGCACGAAUGGCGUAAUGAUGGCCACGCUGUCUCCACCCGAGACUCAGUGAAAUUGAAAUCGCUGUGAAGAUGCAGUGUACCCGCGGCUAGACGGAAAGACCCCGUGAACCUUUACUACAGCUUGGCACUGAACAUUGACCCUACAUGUGUAGGAUAGGUGGGAGGCUUUGAAGCACGUACGCCAGUAUGUGUGGAGCCGUCCUUGAAAUACCACCCUUGUAGUGUUGAUGUUCUAACGUCGACCCCUAAUCGGGGUUGCGGACAGUGCCUGGUGGGUAGUUUGACUGGGGCGGUCUCCUCCCAAAGAGUAACGGAGGAGCACGAAGGUGGGCUAAUCACGGUUGGACAUCGUGAGGUUAGUGCAAUGGCAUAAGCCCGCUUGACUGCGAGAAUGACAAUUCGAGCAGGUGCGAAAGCAGGUCAUAGUGAUCCGGUGGUUCUGAAUGGAAGGGCCAUCGCUCAACGGAUAAAAGGUACUCCGGGGAUAACAGGCUGAUACCGCCCAAGAGUUCAUAUCGACGGCGGUGUUUGGCACCUCGAUGUCGGCUCAUCACAUCCUGGGGCUGAAGUCGGUCCCAAGGGUAUGGCUGUUCGCCAUUUAAAGUGGUACGCGAGCUGGGUUUAGAACGUCGUGAGACAGUUCGGUCCCUAUCUGCCGUGGGCGUUGGAAGAUUGAAGGGGGCUGCUCCUAGUACGAGAGGACCGGAGUGGACGAACCUCUGGUGUUCGGGUUGUGUCGCCAGACGCAUUGCCCGGUAGCUAAGUUCGGAAUCGAUAACCGCUGAAAGCAUCUAAGCGGGAAGCGAGCCCUGAGAUGAGUCUUCCCUGAUACUUUAAGUAUCCUAAAGGGUUGUCGGAGACUACGACGUUGAUAGGUCAGGUGUGUAAGUGCUGUGAGGCAUUGAGCUAACUGAUACUAAUUGCCCGUGAGGCUUAACCAU
Molecule: ribosomal RNA, 2892 nt
Filed under: Vibrio parahaemolyticus
Lineage: Bacteria; Pseudomonadati; Pseudomonadota; Gammaproteobacteria; Vibrionales; Vibrionaceae
Description: 23S ribosomal RNA
Rfam family: Bacterial large subunit ribosomal RNA
Source: RNAcentral